UACAGCUCAAUGAGGCAAAAAUUAUUGAUCUGACCAUUGUGGUGGUUGAGGCAACAACUAUCGAUCUGCCCAUUGUGGUAGAGCCCAUCGAGGCAAAAACAAUAUUGAUCUGCCCUUUGUGGUAGAGCCCAUUGAGGCAAAAACAAUAUUGAUCUGCCCUUUGUGGUAGAGCCUAUUGAGGCAAAAACUAUUGAUCUGCCCAUUGUGGUAGAGCUCAUUGAGGCAAAAACUAUUUAUCUGCCCAUUGUGGUAGAGCUCAUUCAGGCAAAAGCUAUUGAUCCUGCCCAUUGUGGUAGAGCCCAUUGAGGCAAAAACUGUCAAUCUGCCCAUUGUGGUAGAGCCCAUUGAGCCAUAUAGCGAGUGGAAGUGUUAAAACUUCUUGUCAAAGUUGAUGAUAACAAGUCACUGUGCAUUCGUUUUUUCUGGCAAGAAGAUACUGCGACAAAGGAUCAGAUUGGUGAGAGGGUUGGCCGCGCGUGUUGCAUGUUUCAGUUGUAUAUGGUUGAAAUUUUAAUACAGUAUAGCAUGCACGAUAGUUUCGGCUAGGUGCGCGCGCGGUUUGAAUUCGCCUCAACGUCUUGUUGAAUUAGUUCGACAAAGG
Non-coding RNA from Paramuricea clavata, 601 nucleotides. NCBI's taxonomy places the organism in Eukaryota, Metazoa, Cnidaria, Anthozoa, Malacalcyonacea, Plexauridae. The record is from the annotation of a GenBank genome assembly.